AACAGAUGUUAGUCAAAGGACAGACACACCAUGGGAACCGUUACCUACUCCAUAUCUAUUUUGCAGGAAAUAACAAGUCUGUUUGUCAUCAUCUCGGCGAAACAAAUGUGAAACUUAUAAAUAUGCUGUUUAAAAGGCCUAACAUCCUUAGGGACAAGACUACCAAACACAGAAAUAAAACCUUCAUAGUCUACGAAGGCACUGCUGGACCAAAGCAAGGACACGGACACUUAUAAACGAACGAGAGCUCUACAUCUCUUCAGACAGAUUGCGGUCUAAGACAAAGACAGAUACAAUCUUGACUAGCCUAUUCAGAGGCCACUGGCUGCUCUACGAUGACUGGCCUAUUAUGACGCUAUAAUAUAACCUCUGGCAACAUCAUCACUGUAGUAUCACAAAGGUCACGCAGGACAACGAAUGCCACCGGUGUGCGCGUGAAUUGUGAACGCCACUGGCGGCCAUUGCCUUGGUUUCCAAGGCAACGCACUAACCAUUAAUUUUCAAUUAAAGCAGACAAAGAGCUGACAGCACAGGCUCUAUGGAAGAUGUCAAGAAUCUGUAUUAAUAUACGACAAGUGAGUAUAAUUGUCUGUCCAUUUUUUUAAAACCUCAUCUAUGCUAUCAUUGAAAUGUGAAUGCUGUUGAUAAUUUGAGGGGUGUGCUCUGUGUUUUCCUUUUACCGAAGAGGCAUAUGAUGUGCGUUUCAUAAAAAAAAAAUUCUGGUCCAUCCUGAUACUUUUUCUUGAGGGUAGCAAUUAUUUGUAUUGUUUUUGCUGUUAUUUCUGGCUCCGCCGAGAUCUAUAUGCAGGCAGUCGGGUGUUUGAAAAGCAGACAGGCGGGUUGAUGCAGAUCUGAACACUCUGUAGGUAGUGAUUUGCUGUCCAUCACCACAAAGCUUAGCAUAUGCGAUGUGACAGCCACAUCAGGUAAAGAUUCUCCUAAUCAUUAACUACAUAAAAAGCCUUUUUUUUUCCCAAAAAAAGAUGAUGUGUACAAACUUUAUAAUGAUACUCUCACAGAUAAACUAGGCUACUUCAAACUCAGGCUUUUAAUACAGUGAAAAUACAAAGCUUGUAGCUUUGUAACCAAGCCCUCAUGUUUAGAAAUUUUAAAUUACCUACAGCCUUAGUGGCGGUUUGUUUGUUUCAAAGAAAACAGUCUCUCGCUGAGCAGAAAUAAAGCCACGGCACAAAAUGUUAUCAAACUUUCACCUGUUCUGCUCAAUUACGGCUCUGUGAAACAGGAGCCCUUUAAUGGUCUGUUAUCAGACGAGUCUGCAUGUGGGCAAAGUGGGCAGAGAGGAAGUUGUGGCGCCCAUGGUUUAUUUUCAAAAUCCCCACCUCUGCAUUUGUGUUUUACUGUAGAUAACGGCCAGGCAUCUUGCAACUAAUGACAAGGCCAGACAAACACAUAGAAGGAGGGGUCAGGCUUCUCUGUGACCAAUCAGAAAUUUGCUUUACGACUUAGGAAUUGUGAUGUCACUGAAUAUUAAUGACAAUAGUGAAUGAUGUAAAGGAUUUGAGAAAACACUGAUAAGCAAAGAUGUGUGGAGCAUAAUAAAGCCACCUACUGUUGCAGAUUUCUUACAGGAGAAAGAAAAUCGCCUCUGUUUUAAAACCUAUAACCUGGCUCACUGUCUUCUGCUUUUUGUAGCUGUUUAACCUAAUAAGUGACCGAUUUGGA
Non-coding RNA from Misgurnus anguillicaudatus (oriental weatherfish), 1683 nucleotides. Lineage: Eukaryota; Metazoa; Chordata; Actinopteri; Cypriniformes; Cobitidae. The record is from RefSeq and is a predicted model, not a curated record.